Danio rerio (zebrafish) is the source of this 54-nucleotide non-coding RNA. The record is from Rfam. NCBI's taxonomy places the organism in Eukaryota, Metazoa, Chordata, Actinopteri, Cypriniformes, Danionidae.
UCAUUGUCCAUUUGUAAGUCGCUUUGGAUAAAAGCAUCUGCUAAAUGACUAAAU